Molecule: ribosomal RNA, 106 nt
Filed under: Panthera uncia (snow leopard)
Lineage: Eukaryota; Metazoa; Chordata; Mammalia; Carnivora; Felidae
Description: partial large subunit ribosomal RNA
Source: RNAcentral
AAUGAGUUAGCUAGUAAUAACCUAACAAAGAGAACUUCAGCUAGGCCCCCCGAAACCAGACGAGCUACCCACGAACAAUCUAUUGCAGGAUGAACUCGUCUAUGUU